GACGAACCGAGCGAACGUUAUUCGGAAUCACUGGGCUUAAAGGGCGCGUAGGCGGACCGUCAAGUCAGGGGUGAAAGCCCGCGGCUCAACCGCGGAAGUGCCUUUGAUACUGGCGGCCUCGAGGGAGGUAGGGGCGUGCGGAACUUCCGGUGGAGCGGUGAAAUGCGUAGAUAUCGGAAGGAACACCGGUGGCGAAAGCGGCGCGCUGGACCUCUUCUGACGCUGAGGCGCGAAAGCGUGGGGAGCAAACAGG
Molecule: ribosomal RNA, 253 nt
Filed under: uncultured bacterium
Lineage: Bacteria
Description: partial 16S ribosomal RNA
Rfam family: Bacterial small subunit ribosomal RNA
Source: RNAcentral